RNAcentral lists this ribosomal RNA (240 nucleotides) under Agaricus sp. RNAcentral's name for it is "partial large subunit ribosomal RNA". The record is from RNAcentral. Lineage: Eukaryota; Fungi; Basidiomycota; Agaricomycetes; Agaricales; Agaricaceae.
AAACGCUUGAAGUCAGUCGCGUUGGCCGGGAAUCAGCCUUGCUUUUGCAUGGUGUACUUUCUGGUUGACGGGUCAGCAUCAAUUUUGACUGCUGGAAAAAGGCCUGGGGAAUGUGGCAGCUCCGGCUGUGUUAUAGCCCCUAGUCACAUACAGUGGUUGGGAUUGAGGAACUCAGCACGCCGCAAGGCCGGGUUUCGACCACGUUCGUGCUUAGGAUGCUGGCAUAAUGGCUUUAAGCGA